RNAcentral lists this ribosomal RNA (433 nucleotides) under uncultured bacterium. RNAcentral's name for it is "partial 16S ribosomal RNA". It matches the Rfam family "Bacterial small subunit ribosomal RNA", at positions 29 to 507 of the family's 1533-position model. The record is from RNAcentral.
AACGAACGCUGGCGGCAUACCUAACACAUGCAAGUCGAACGAGACCUUCGGGUCUAGUGGCGCACGGGUGCGUAACGCGUGGGAACCUGCCCUUAGGUUCGGAAUAACUCCCCGACAGGGGUGCUAAUACCGGAUAAUGUCUUCGGACCAAAGAUUUAUCGCCUUUGGAUGGGCCCGCGUUGGAUUAGCUAGUUGGUAGGGUAAAAGCCUACCAAGGCGACGAUCCAUAGCUGGUCUGAGAGGAUGAUCAGCCACACUGGGACUGAGACACGGCCCAGACUCCUACGGGAGGCAGCAGUGGGGAAUAUUGGACAAUGGGCGAAAGCCUGAUCCAGCAAUGCCGCGUGAGUGAUGAAGGCCUUAGGGUUGUAAAGCUCUUUUACCCGGGAUGAUAAUGACAGUACCGGGAGAAUAAGCUCCGGCUAACUCCGUG